This is an RNA transcript of Malus domestica (apple), 1200 nucleotides long. It is a transcript of the gene named peptidyl-prolyl cis-trans isomerase FKBP19, chloroplastic, with no coding region annotated. The record is from RefSeq and is a predicted model, not a curated record. NCBI's taxonomy places the organism in Eukaryota, Viridiplantae, Streptophyta, Magnoliopsida, Rosales, Rosaceae.
AGCCAGACAAGUUGAGGCUGUUAUCUUGCCGCGAAACGCAUUCCCUGGUUCCCCAGUCACCACAUCACAGUCCCACCCUUUUCUCUCCCUAGUCGAGUAGCACCUGCCACCACACCUACAAUGUCUUCAAUCUCAGCCGUCCGGUCUCCACCGCGGCCUCCGUCCUCACCCGUCGGAAAAUCUUCAACCCCGAUACGUCGUUUCGUGCUAAACUUCCCUUCUAUGCGCCAGAGACGCCGCGGACCCCAAUCUCAUCUUCUUCCUGAAGCGGAGAAGUUUUCCGAUUCAGGUGCAGGCGGUGGAAGCAUUCUUAUCGAGCGAAGAAGUGUUGUGUUUUCAUCGGUUGGCAUGGUGGCUGCAGCUUUCUGUAAUGCUUCAAAGGACGUAAUUGCCCUCGCGUCUCAGUUUACUGACAUGCCAGCACUUAGGGGGAAGGACUAUGGCAAGUCGAAAAUGAGUUAUCCGGACUAUACGGAAACUGAAUCAGGUCUUCAGUACAAGGACUUGCGAGUAGGAGAUGGCCCCAAACCGAAGGUGGGAGAGACCGUUGUGGUUGAUUGGGAUGGAUACACCAUAGGAUAUUAUGGACGUAUCUUUGAAGCUCGAAAUAAAACAAAGGGCGGUUCAUUUGAGGGUGAUGACAAGGCCUUUUUCAAAUUCAGGGUAGGAUCUCAAGAGGUAAUACCAGCUUUUGAGGAAUCCAUUACAGGCAUGGCUCUUGGAGGCAUUAGAAGUGAUGCAGGAUCAUAGUGCCCCCGGAAUUGGGAUAUCCAGACAAUGACUACAACAAGAGUGGCCCAAGGCCGACAACAUUUUCGGGCCAACGAGCCUUGGAUUUCGUGCUGAGGAACCAAGGGCUGAUCGACAAGACUCUUCUGUUCGAUAUUGAGCUCAUCAAGAUCAUACCAAACUGAUCUCCUUUCAAAUUCAACGUUUCUCACAGGAAAUCGAUUAGCUGUUUAACAAAUACGGCUUAUUUAUCGUAGAGUUUCUUAUUCCGGAUGCCAGAAAUAUCGAUUAGCUGAGAAAGUUGACGGAUUACCAUAAUACCAUCAGAUUUGAAGUAGAAACUUCAUUUCUGCGAAGUCAAAGAGUUCACAAUUAUUUGAUAAGCUUUUUGUAAAAUUAACUUUUCAUGCAGUAUAUCUGUAUAGUGGUGGAUUACAGUGUACAAUUUAAGCUGGAUUUGUGCAUUAAUUU